UCCGUAGGUGAACCUGCGGAGGGAUCAUUACAAGAACGCCCGGGCUUCGGCCUGGUUAUUCAUAACCCUUUGUUGUCCGACUCUGUUGCCUCCGGGGCGACCCUGCCUUCGGGCGGGGGCUCCGGGUGGACACUUCAAACUCUUGCGUAACUUUGCAGUCUGAGUAAACUUAAUUAAUAAAUUAAAACUUUUAACAACGGAUCUCUUGGUUCUGGCAUCGAUGAAGAACGCAGCGAAAUGCGAUAAGUAAUGUGAAUUGCAGAAUUCAGUGAAUCAUCGAAUCUUUGAACGCACAUUGCGCCCCCUGGUAUUCCGGGGGGCAUGCCUGUUCGAGCGUCAUUUCACCACUCAAGCCUCGCUUGGUAUUGGGCAACGCGGUCCGCCGCGUGCCUCAAAUCGUCCGGCUGGGUCUUCUGUCCCCUAAGCGUUGUGGAAACUAUUCGCUAAAGGGUGUUCGGGAGGCUACGCCGUAAAACAACCCCAUUUCUAAGGUUGACCUCGGAUCAGGUAGGGAUACCCGCUGAACUUAAGCAUAUCAAUAAGCGGAGG
This 549-nucleotide ribosomal RNA is filed under the name uncultured fungus. RNAcentral's name for it is "eukaryotic LSU rRNA". The stretch from base 186 to 339 matches the Rfam family "5.8S ribosomal RNA". The record is from RNAcentral. Lineage: Eukaryota; Fungi.